UACGUAGGGUGCGAGCGUUGUCCGGAAUUACUGGGCGUAAAGAGCUCGUAGGUGGUUUGUCGCGUUGUCCGUGAAAACCCACGGCUCAACUGUGGGCUUGCGGUCGAUACGGGCAGGCUGGAGUUCGGUAGGGGAGACUGGAAUUCCUGGUGUAGCGGUGAAAUGCGCAGAGAUCCGGAAGAACACCGGUGGCGAAGGCGGCCCGCUGGGCAGAGACUGACGCUGAUGCGCGACAGCGUGGGGAGCAAACAGG
This 253-nucleotide ribosomal RNA is filed under the name uncultured bacterium. Its description in RNAcentral is "partial 16S ribosomal RNA". It matches the Rfam family "Bacterial small subunit ribosomal RNA", at positions 524 to 776 of the family's 1533-position model. The record is from RNAcentral.